GCAGACGCGAGAGCCCCCUCUGGUUAUAUAAGGGAGGGCCGCCACGCUUAUAGUCCUUUUGUGUUUGCGGCACCUUACUUGGUAGUCUUCCGCUGGUGCUUCCUAGUCCGACGGCGUCCUACCCUGGGAACCCGGGUUGACUGCUGUGUGUGUUCGCAGGUUAGCGUGGUCAGAGGGUACGGAAUGGAUCUUGGAGGAGGGGGUCGCUGCUGGGCCUCGACGAGAACGCCGUGUAGACAUCUACAGCCUUCAGUCUCCUGAUCUCUGGGGUUUGCUGUUGGCAGAAAGCACACUUGGAAUGGGCCAGGAUGAAUCUGGGAGUGGGAAAGGAUUGGUCAGGAGCCAUGUGUGCCACAGGGCAGGAAGAAGGUUGGCUGCAGCCUGAUCUUCCUCUCGACUUGAUUCAGUAUGUCCUGUAACAGGUGUUUCUCAACUGGAGUUGGAAUACAAGGACUCUUGAAAAAGAUUGACCCUGUGUUUACCUGAGAAAGGUGGUUGAAUCUGUCCACAAGGUUAUUGUAUAACUUGAGAACUGUCUACAAAGUUGAAAACUGCCCAUUUUGAAGAAUCAAGGAUUAUUAUUAAACUUUUUUUUUAUUAAAGAUUGGUACCUGAGCUAA
This is a long non-coding RNA of Equus caballus (horse), 620 nucleotides long. RefSeq lists it as uncharacterized. The record is from RefSeq and is a predicted model, not a curated record. Lineage: Eukaryota; Metazoa; Chordata; Mammalia; Perissodactyla; Equidae.